Molecule: long non-coding RNA, 1314 nt
Organism: Pantherophis guttatus
Lineage: Eukaryota; Metazoa; Chordata; Lepidosauria; Squamata; Colubridae
Source: RefSeq, a predicted model, not a curated record
CGAAAACCCUCCUGCGCUCAGCGGCAGUUUCCAAGGUCCCUCGAGCCCAUUUUUUUCCGGGGUGUUCUCUGGAUAUUUAUUCCGGUGGCAGGGCUGUUUCUCACACCAACACCCCCGAACCCAGCCCUCUAUUUUCCAGUGUCUCCCCAACCUUUUCCUGCAGCAAUUUGCUGCAUCGAACCUUGAGCUAAAGCGAAUGAACCGGGUCAGGAUUGCAUAUGGAACAUUUGGCAGCUAAGAGUUCUUGCUGGAUACCAUUCUCUCUAAUACAAAACUUACUGCCAAGAAAAAUGGAGGCAAAAUUAGUUUGCAGAGAAACCAGAGGGGGAUCUCGGCAUGCUUGAGGAAACCCUGAAGUCUGCAGAAGUACAGAGCAUAUUUUUCAAGAACCAUCAAAGUCUCCUCUUCAGUAUACAACCUUACCAAGAAGUGGAGGCCUCCAGAGAUGUGUUCAGCCAAGGACCAUGUUGUGUGAUAAUCUGUUUGCCUACUUCACCUGCCCCUGCCUUCUCCAACCUUUCUCAACCUAGUCUACGUGGGGAGAUGUAUUGUUGAAUCUGAAUGGAAACAGAAACCAGAAACAUAACAUUACUACUGGAUGCUUUAUUCAUCUUGAUGGAAGUUUCCUAUGUCAAUGUUCAGGACAUUUAUGGUUUUGUCUGAAAUACAUCAGUUACAAACACCAGUAACUUGUCUGAAAGUAUUAGCAACAAUGUCAUUAUUGUCGUGGGUACCAACUUCACAGCCAUGUCCCAAAUCCCAAGAGACAUCAACUCAAACAAGAUGAUAUUGCUGUACCACAAGAUGCAAUAACAGGAAGAUACAGACCAGGGAGUUGACAGUCAACCAUCACCAUCUGUUCCUCUUCUUGGUUUUGUGAAAUGCACAUUUCAAUUCCAAUUUGGUGAGGUUGGCAAAUAAAUGGAAUAUCCAGCACAGAUAUAAAACUCAUGUCCAGGACAUUUAUUAAAAGCAAAACAAUUCAUAAUGAGAAUUAAAUACCGUCUUUAUUCUUUCAAAAUGAAGAAAUCGUUUUCCUCAAACUAAAAUCCAAUUUUCCCUGAAACUAGUAGAGGGUAAUUAUUUUGAGGUUAUGGAUCGUAUCUCUCUUUGGUUUUAUUCCAUUCUUUAUGUCCCUUUGGUUUUAUUGCAUUCUUUUUCUAUUUCAUUUUUGUGCCACUUAGAGCAGCAAGUAGGGUAGUGAUGUCACCAGAGAAAUAGGGUUGGGAUUUUAUCACACGCAUGCCUUUUCUUUUUUUCUGCUAUGUUUAGACUACUUUUUUUUUAUGAAAUAAAAUUAAUAUGUUAAAUCUU